GUAAGGUAUACUCACCUGAGUCUAAUAAGUGGUAUAAUUUAUUUUUUUUUUUUAGCUUUGUCCUCUCAUUUUACUCCAGAUCUUUUGCCUGAGCAAAGCAUAAACAUUUAUUCCCAAAAAUGAUACUGAGAAGAUAUGAAAGCUAUGACACUGAAAAUUUAAACUUAAGACUGGAAAAGUGUGGAAAAAGUUCCAGGAAAUUUAAAAAUCUUUUCAGAAAAGACAGUACACUGAGCAGGAUUUGCACAUCAAGAAAAAGUAGAGACGGGAGAUGAGAGUCAAGUGUUUUGGGGGUAGAGAAAAAGAUUAGGCUGGAAGGGGUACUGGGCCAGGUGUAGGGGUGUUCAGAUCUGCGUGUGUGUGUGUGUUUGUGUGUGUGUGGUGUGUAACAUUCUCACUGAAGGUUUACUUGAAAAACUCCAGCCCUGUCUAGCCUGGAUUAACAGAAAGAUGUGUGUUUGCCCAUGGGCAGGUGGGGGGCUUGGGGGCAGGAGACCCCAGAAUGGGAUGUGGUGAUGGCAGCUGGGCUGUUGGGCAGGCGGGAUGAGCUGCAGAAGGAGCAGGGCUCUGGUUCCCAUGCUUGUCCAUCCUGCUGGCAUGGAGCCACCUCCAGGCUGUGGGUGGGUGUGGUAGGUGGGGCUUCCUUCCUUCCCCAAUCUAGCCCAGCAAUUCCCCAGGAAGCCAGACCCCUGCUACUGAUUCUUUCUGCACCUCUACAGGGAGAGUCAUCCUGUCUGCACCAAGGAUGGGAACAGCAGAGGAAUCCCACAGGCCAGAUCUUAGAAUCUUCUCUGGAAAUGAGGAAGUGGCGUGUCACCACCCAGUACCUUAGGAAGACCCUGCCCUGUCAGUCAGAGAUGGCAUCUUGGGUGACCACUCCCUGA
This 884-nucleotide long non-coding RNA is filed under the name Pongo abelii (Sumatran orangutan). RNAcentral's name for it is "lncRNA (ENSPPYG00000031023.1)". The record is from RNAcentral. Lineage: Eukaryota; Metazoa; Chordata; Mammalia; Primates; Hominidae.